Triticum urartu is the source of this 135-nucleotide non-coding RNA. NCBI's taxonomy places the organism in Eukaryota, Viridiplantae, Streptophyta, Magnoliopsida, Poales, Poaceae. The record is from Rfam.
CAAAGAAACCCUCCGUUCCAAAUUAGUUGACUUGAAUCUGUCUAAAUACGGAUGUAUCUAUACUUGUUUAGUGUCUAAAUAUAUCCGUAUCUAGAUAAGUAUGGGUCAAGUAAUUUGAAACGGAGGGAAUAUAUA